Molecule: ribosomal RNA, 479 nt
Filed under: uncultured bacterium
Lineage: Bacteria
Description: partial 16S ribosomal RNA
Rfam family: Bacterial small subunit ribosomal RNA
Source: RNAcentral
GGAUGAACGCUGGCGGCGUGCUUACCCCAUGCAAGUCGAACGGGAAACCUUUUAUUGAAGCUUCGGCAGAUUUAGCUGGUUUCUAGUGGCGGACGGGUGAGUAACGCGUGGGUAACCUGCCUUAUACAGGGGGAUAACAACCAGAAAUGGUUGCUAAUACCGCAUAAGCGCACAGGACCGCAUGGUCCGGUGUGAAAAACUCCGGUGGUAUAAGAUGGACCCGCGUUGGAUUAGCUAGUUGGCAGGGUAACGGCCUACCAAGGCGACGAUCCAUAGCCGGCCUGAGAGGGUGAACGGCCACAUUGGGACUGAGACACGGCCCAGACUCCUACGGGAGGCAGCAGUGGGGAAUAUUGCACAAUGGGGGAAACCCUGAUGCAGCGACGCCGCGUGAAGGAAGAAGUAUCUCGGUAUGUAAACUUCUAUCAGCAGGGAAGAUAGUGACGGUACCUGACUAAGAAGCCCCGGCUAACUACGUG